GGCCGCAGUAUUUUAACUGUGCAAAGGUAGCAUAAUCAUUAGUCUUUUAAUUGAAGGCUGGAAUGAAUGGUUGGACGAAAUACUAACUGUUUCAUUAAAAUUUUGUAUAGAAUUUUAUUUUUUAGUGAAAAAGCUAGAAUUUAUUUAAAAGACGAGAAGACCCUAUAAAUCUUUAUAUUUGAUAUAUCUUUAAUAAAUUGAAAUUUAUAUUAAUUUUAUUAUUAUUUAUUUUAUUGGGGUGAUAUUAAAAUUUAAUUAACUUUUAAUUUAAAAAAUCAUUAAUUUAUGUUAUUUUGAUCCGUUAUUAACGAUUAAAAAAUUAAGUUACUUUAGGGAUAACAGCGUAAUUUUUUUGGAGAGUUCUUAUUGAUAAAAAAGAUUGCGACCUCGAUGUUGGAUU
This 400-nucleotide ribosomal RNA is filed under the name Uroeuantha longipes. RNAcentral describes it as "partial 16S rRNA". The record is from RNAcentral. Lineage: Eukaryota; Metazoa; Arthropoda; Insecta; Diptera; Tachinidae.